UUGAUCAUGGCUCAGGACGAACGCUGGCGGCGUGCCUAAUACAUGCAAGUCGAACGCUUCUUUUUCCACCGGAGCUUGCUCCACCGGAAAAAGAGGAGUGGCGAACGGGUGAGUAACACGUGGGUAACCUGCCCAUCAGAAGGGGAUAACACUUGGAAACAGGUGCUAAUACCGUAUAACAAUCGAAACCGCAUGGUUUUGAUUUGAAAGGCGCUUUCGGGUGUCGCUGAUGGAUGGACCCGCGGUGCAUUAGCUAGUUGGUGAGGUAACGGCUCACCAAGGCGACGAUGCAUAGCCGACCUGAGAGGGUGAUCGGCCACAUUGGGACUGAGACACGGCCCAAACUCCUACGGGAGGCAGCAGUAGGGAAUCUUCGGCAAUGGACGAAAGUCUGACCGAGCAACGCCGCGUGAGUGAAGAAGGUUUUCGGAUCGUAAAACUCUGUUGUUAGAGAAGAACAAGGAUGAGAGUAACUGUUCAUCCCUUGACGGUAUCUAACCAGAAAGCCACGGCUAACUACGUGCCAGCAGCCGCGGUAAUACGUAGGUGGCAAGCGUUGUCCGGAUUUAUUGGGCGUAAAGCGAGCGCAGGCGGUUUCUUAAGUCUGAUGUGAAAGCCCCCGGCUCAACCGGGGAGGGUCAUUGGAAACUGGGAGACUUGAGUGCACAAGAGGAGAGUGGAAUUCCAUGUGUAGCGGUGAAAUGCGUAGAUAUAUGGAGGAACACCAGUGGCGAACGCGGCUCUCUGGUCUGUAACUGACGCUGAKGCUCGAAAGCGUGGGGAGCARACAKGAUUAGAUACCCUGGUAGUSCACRCCGUAWACGAUGAGUGCUAAGUGUUGGASGGUUUCCGCCCUUCAGUGCUGCAGCUAACGCAUUAAGCACUCCGCCUGGGGAGUACGACCGCAAGGUUGAAACUCAAAGGAAUUGACGGGGGCCCGCACAAGCGGUGGAGCAUGUGGUUUAAUUCGAAGCAACGCGAAGAACCUUACCAGGUCUUGACAUCCUUUGACCACUCUAGAGAUAGAGCUUCCCCUUCGGGGGCAAAGUGACAGGUGGUGCAUGGUUGUCGUCAGCUCGUGUCGUGAGAUGUUGGGUUAAGUCCCGCAACGAGCGCAACCCUUAUUGUUAGUUGCCAUCAUUUAGUUGGGCACUCUAGCAAGACUGCCGGUGACAAACCGGAGGAAGGUGGGGAUGACGUCAAAUCAUCAUGCCCCUUAUGACCUGGGCUACACACGUGCUACAAUGGGAAGUACAACGAGUCGCAAAGUCGCGAGGCUAAGCUAAUCUCUUAAAGCUUCUCUCAGUUCGGAUUGUAGGCUGCAACUCGCCUACAUGAAGCCGGAAUCGCUAGUAAUCGCGGAUCAGCACGCCGCGGUGAAUACGUUCCCGGGCCUUGUACACACCGCCCGUCACACCACGAGAGUUUGUAACACCCGAAGUCGGUGAGGUAACCUUUUGGAGCCAGCCGCCUAAGGUGGGAUAGAUGAUUGGGGUGAAGUCGUAACAAGGUAGCCGUA
Molecule: ribosomal RNA, 1519 nt
Filed under: Enterococcus hirae
Lineage: Bacteria; Bacillati; Bacillota; Bacilli; Lactobacillales; Enterococcaceae
Description: 16S ribosomal RNA
Rfam family: Bacterial small subunit ribosomal RNA
Source: RNAcentral